UGCCUCAAAAAUCUAUCUAGUCACCCAUGCUAGAUGAACUCAAUCUCAUCUUGUAGCUAGAUACAUUCCUCAAUGUCAUGGUCAUGGUUGCGAUGGUAUAGGUAGUAUUUAUUUGGGUCAUAUCGGGUCGGCAGGGCCUGCAUCCUCCUUGAUCUUGGCAGCUCUAAUAGAAUUCCUUUAUCACCAGUUUUGAGGUGGGAUUCUAGAUCAUCAGUUUCGAGCUAGAGUUCUACAUUGUUGUAGACCCCUUCGGUGAUCUACUCAUCUUGGUGAGCACCUCCUAUCUUUGUCCU
Molecule: long non-coding RNA, 293 nt
Filed under: Elaeis guineensis (African oil palm)
Lineage: Eukaryota; Viridiplantae; Streptophyta; Magnoliopsida; Arecales; Arecaceae
Description: long non-coding RNA (EGUI_LNC039552)
Source: RNAcentral